RNAcentral lists this ribosomal RNA (489 nucleotides) under uncultured bacterium. Its description in RNAcentral is "partial 16S ribosomal RNA". It matches the Rfam family "Bacterial small subunit ribosomal RNA", at positions 39 to 523 of the family's 1533-position model. The record is from RNAcentral.
GCGGCAGGCUUAACACAUGCAAGUCGAGCGGAUGAGGGGAGCUUGCUCCCUGAUUUAGCGGCGGACGGGUGAGUAAUGCGUAGGAAGCUGCCCGAUAGAGGGGGAUACCAGUUGGAAACGACUGUUAAUACCGCAUAAUGUCUACGGACCAAAGUGUGGGACCUUCGGGCCACAUGCUAUCGGAUGCGCCUACGUGGGAUUAGCUAGUUGGUGAGGUAAUGGCUCACCAAGGCGACGAUCUCUAGCUGGUUUGAGAGGAUGAUCAGCCACACUGGAACUGAAACACGGUCCAGACUCCUACGGGAGGCAGCAGUGGGGAAUAUUGGACAAUGGGCGCAAGCCUGAUCCAGCCAUGCCGCGUGUGUGAAGAAGGCCUUCGGGUUGUAAAGCACUUUCAGCGAGGAGGAAGGGUGGUGUGUUAAUAGCACAUCAUUUUGACGUUACUCGCAGAAGAAGCACCGGCUAACUCUGUGCCAGCCGCCGCCGUAA